UACGAAGGGGGCGAGCGUUGUUCGGAAUUACUGGGCGUAAAGGGCGCGCAGGCGGCCUCUUGAAUUCAGAUGUGAAAGCCCCGGGCUCAACCUGGGAAUGGCAUUUGAUACUCGAGGGCUUGAGUACGGGAGAGGAGAGUGGAAUUCCCAGUGUAGAGGUGAAAUUCGUAGAUAUUGGGAAGAACACCGGUGGCGAAGGCGGCUCUCUGGAACGUAACUGACGCUGAGGCGCGAAAGCGUGGGGAGCAAACAGG
This 254-nucleotide ribosomal RNA is filed under the name uncultured bacterium. Its description in RNAcentral is "partial 16S ribosomal RNA". It matches the Rfam family "Bacterial small subunit ribosomal RNA", at positions 524 to 776 of the family's 1533-position model. The record is from RNAcentral.